AAAAACCAUGCUACCUUCCUAAUUUUUCCUUCGUCGGAGCUCUUUUCUCCGACCACCAUUGUUGUUGCCGCUGCCCUCAACGGAAAGCCUAUGCAAGAACUUCAGCUCCUCCAUUUGCCGCCCACAACCACCGUCUAACGCUACCGCUGUCGCUGCUGAGUUGUCGGCAUCAACUCCCCUUCCAGCUGAAGUCUUGGCCUCUAUUUCCCUCUCCCCUUGCUACUGCCAUUAAUGGCAGCUUAAGCUUUCCUUCUUCCUCUCCUUUGUCUCCUUCUUC
This 277-nucleotide long non-coding RNA is filed under the name Ricinus communis (castor bean). Its description in RNAcentral is "long non-coding RNA (RCOM_LNC003155)". The record is from RNAcentral. Lineage: Eukaryota; Viridiplantae; Streptophyta; Magnoliopsida; Malpighiales; Euphorbiaceae.